RNAcentral lists this ribosomal RNA (36 nucleotides) under Garcinia mangostana. Its description in RNAcentral is "partial 28S ribosomal RNA". The record is from RNAcentral. Lineage: Eukaryota; Viridiplantae; Streptophyta; Magnoliopsida; Malpighiales; Clusiaceae.
AGCGACCCCAGGUGCAGGUGAGAGUAACUCGCCUGG